This 509-nucleotide long non-coding RNA is filed under the name Vigna radiata. RNAcentral describes it as "long non-coding RNA (VRAD_LNC017662)". Lineage: Eukaryota; Viridiplantae; Streptophyta; Magnoliopsida; Fabales; Fabaceae. The record is from RNAcentral.
GGUAGCUGUGCAGAUUGUGAUAUUGUGGCCACUGAAUCCUCUCAUACUGAUGCAGUUCUAACUAUGCAAGGAGGGAUGGUUGCGACUGGUGAUGAGCUCGCAAGUUUCAUUCCAGCUUUAUGCAAUUACCAGUCACAAGUCCUAAAGGGAGAGUUGCAGUUGCUGCAUUGGAAAGCUGAGAAGAAUGCAGCAAUGAAGAUAAUGCACACCUGGGCAGAGCUUGGAAAAACACCAAUAAGAUCAUUCUUUCCCUUUCUAUUCUUUUGUAGUAAUAGGUUUUUGUGGAUAGCUUGCAUAGUAAUAGAUAGCAUAGUAAAUAAUAGGAUAGCACAUAUGCUCUUUUAUAUAAAAAUUAAAAAAAAUAAUUUUGAUCUAUGGCCUAUUUGAACAUGUUUUCUUUUUCUUUUAGUCUUAUAGUUUUAGUUUUAAUCUUUUCAGUUUUGUUCUGUACAUUUCCUGUUCAAACUGGUGUUUUCUAAAUUCAAUUUUUUUUUGUAUAAGUCUGCAUG